UCAGGCCUAACACAUGCAAGUCGAGGGGUAGAACAUUUCGGUGUUUGAGACCGGCGCACGGGUGCGUAACGCGUAUGCAACCUACCUUUUACAGGGGAAUAGCCCAGAGAAAUUUGGAUUAAUGCCCCAUGGUAUAUUUAGAUGGCAUCAUCUGAUUAUUAAAGUUCCAACGGUAAAAGAUGGGCAUGCGUCCUAUUAGCUAGAUGGUAAGGUAACGGCUUACCAUGGCAACGAUAGGUAGGGGUCCUGAGAGGGAGAUCCCCCACACUGGUACUGAGACACGGACCAGACUCCUACGGGAGGCAGCAGUGAGGAAUAUUGGACAAUGGGCGCAAGCCUGAUCCAGCCAUGCCGCGUGCAGGAAGAAGCAUCUAUGGUGUGAAAGUGCUUUGUACGGGAAGAAACACUCCUACGGUAGGAGCUG
RNAcentral lists this ribosomal RNA (424 nucleotides) under uncultured bacterium. RNAcentral describes it as "bacterial SSU rRNA". It matches the Rfam family "Bacterial small subunit ribosomal RNA", at positions 42 to 470 of the family's 1533-position model. The record is from RNAcentral.